Non-coding RNA from Anas platyrhynchos (mallard), 4215 nucleotides. The record is from RefSeq and is a predicted model, not a curated record. Lineage: Eukaryota; Metazoa; Chordata; Aves; Anseriformes; Anatidae.
CCCUUCCUUUUCACAGCAUUUUUCUGUUCUUUGGUGUUGGAAACACAGAUAUGUUGUAUUAAACGUUUCUUUCCUGAUCCACAGAGAAGUUCUGGUAUUUUUCCAGGUUGUUGGCAUCUGGAUGCACUGGAUUUUGUUUUCUGGUUCUUUCUGGCAAGAACAGCACGCCCAGCGAGCAGACAGCUGUUUUGCAUUUUCUGCUCAAAAGCAAUUAGUACCACCUUUACGUAAUCAGUGCGCUGUGUGAUAUCCUCAUGUGCAUUUACCACCUCAUUAGGUUAACUCAGUAAAUGAAACGCAGAAAUUGCUUUAAAAAUAAACUGAUAAAAUGUAAGGUGGCGACCCAAAGCAUAAAACGCUGAGCAGAUCAGAUCUUCUCUCACUGCAAGCUCUGCAACGGGCAAGUCUGAUUCAAUUGUCAGAAAAAAUUAGGUGCUUGGAGCACCAGCAUUUGGUUUAAGAUUGUUUUGGAACAUGACUCUUACCUUGUAAGGUCUUGGAGCACAAUGGAAAUUAGAUGUGUGACCCCUCUUCAAGACUUUGCCCUAGAGUAAAACGGUAAUAAGUAAUGCCUUGUGGAGAAGGUUACUGGGGAAAAAAUGCCAUGCUUGUGAGCCAGAAGCACUCUGAAGUCAUCGUGUGAAUAUGUGCCUGAUGGUGGGCCCACACUCUACUGAGACCUGCCUGCAAUACGAAAAAAGAAAUGGAAAGAAGAAAGAAAUGCCAUUUCUGGGGCCUGGGCAGGGAGGCCGCUUGCCUCAAAUGGAGCCAUGGGACGGUGGAGGCCACAGGACACCAGAGCCAGAUGCUGCCUGCAGCUGGACGUGAGCAGCGCAGAUGUCUCCUCAUGGUGGCGAUGUCACUUGGGCCAGAGGGAUGGAAGUGUCACCUGCACGUAAGUUGGUGAAAUAUGUUACACAAGCAGCAGGAGGAGAGGUUUUUGGUUCCUUAAUCCAGGAUUCCAUAGAAGAACCCAGUACUUCUUUUGACUUGUUUAACAACGUGGUCUAACAUGGCAUGUGUUUUUAUGCAAGAAGAAGGACUAGUUUUGAAAGAAAAUCAGUACAAGAUGUCUCACCCCGCACACAACACACAUUCCUGCCUCUACAGGACACACACCUAGUAGGUGCAGGUGGGAAUGGCAGAGAACCACGGUGUCUUUCCUUCAACUCCAAGAACAAGUGAUAGCAGUGCCUUCUGAAAGGCAUUGGAUUGACCCUCUGGACAUCAAGCCUGAGCUCAUACUGCAAUACUGCCCAGCUUGCCUUCCUGAAGCACAACCUGUAGAGAUCAUUUGUUGGCAGAAGAUGAUGUGGCAAUCCUUACCACUGGAACACCCCCAGCAAGUUCACAGCUUCCCUUCUGCUGCUCUGCAACACCCUGAGGGUAGGAGAACACUGCAGGAACUGCAUGGGCCAGUCUGAGAAUUGGUGCUGGGGCAGCCAGCAGAAGCAGCAUCUCCCCGUGGCUAAUGGCAGUGAGGAAGCUCUCUGGCAUGUGGCAACGUGAGGAGGAACCCCACCUGAGCCCCAGGUGUCCCUGUGAAGCAGAUCCCCAGCUUUGAGGGACGCUCUGUGCAAUACUGUGGGUUUGGAAAUCUCAGGAGGGAUUUGCUAAGGUCAGUCUGACACAGAGGAUCUCCAAAUGCCAGACUGCAGGGAGAACCUUUUCCCCUUUCACGGUCAGCAGGAGGCAAGGAACAAGUUCACAAGUCUGGGAGUGCAGGAAAUGCUCACAUUAGCUGAUAGACACACAUCCUGGCACCACACUCAGGAUUACUGGGACACAACUUCUUCCACGGAGGAUAUCAAUGCAGUGGCCUGCUUGGAAACCAGACAUCUACAAGCUUUCUGUCCAGUAUCUUCUUUUCCAGUACUGGCGGUGCUGGUGUUUGCAGAGACACUGUGGGAAACCAACAUUCAAAUCUUUCUCUGUGCCUGGGAUGACAGCCCCCGUUGCACAGCUGCUCAUGAGAAGGGCUCAACCCUUCUGUGGCCCAGGGAAGCUGUGGAUGCCCCAGCCCUCGAGGUGCUCCAGGUCAGGUUGGACGAGGCCUUGGGCAAUCUGAUCUUGUGGGUGGCUUCCCUGUCCAUGGCAGGGUGUUGGAGCAGGAUGGUCCUUUAACUCGGGAAGGUCCCUUCCAACCCAAACCAUUCUAUGAUUCUAUGAAGGGAUACGGGGUUGACUGCGUGUAUGACUGCGGUUUCUGCCCAUGGGAUUCCCCACACAAGGCAUGCUGUGGCACUGAGUGUGCAGCGUGCCAUCCUCUGGGAGCAGGAGCCUGAGCCCCUGUGCUGCCCUGCACACACACAGCACCUUCUUCAGUGGUGAAUGUGUGCCCUUAGGGCACAACAGAUCGAGCAGCAACAUCAGCGCUAGCUCUCAUGAGAAAGCUGAAGUAAUAAAGUAGCAUGAGGAGAGUUGUGGAGCUCUGUGCCAGCUUAUUUAGCCUAUUAGCUGGACUAAUUAGCCAAGAUGAAAAGCAAUACUUAAGCAGCCACUCUGCUUCUGCUUCCUGAGCCAGUCCGUCCAGAGCCAGCUCUGAUAUUUCUACCCAGUAAAGCAUCAUGCUGUGUAAAUAUAUCCUUAAUGCUGCAAAGCAAAUGGCCUUGUGAGAACCGUACUGCUUGCAUAUGCCAUUGUUAAUUCAUAACUUUAAAUGUGCCGGAGACCUUUCAUAUAGGAUCUAUAAGAGAAAAAGGCACAGCUUUCCCCAUAGUACUUACUGGUAGAGUUUGUACUUCCUACCUUAGAUAAUCUGGGUGACAUGUUUUUUUAAAAUGGUUUAUUAUGUGAAAAUUCCUUAAUGCUCCUGUGAGAUAUCUUAGAUUUUGCAACACCAGCAUAAAAGUGUUCUAUGCAUUAUUUCCGGUAUAGCUGUCCGUGUUGACAAACAUUCCCAUGAGGAGAUAAACAGGGCAGGGUACAAAGCAGACUAAAAGGUAGGCUAAAAGAAAGAUACUUCCAAGUGGGUUAUCUUCACAUGGAUAUAAAACACAGAGGGAAGAAAAUGAAGAGCUGUUCAUCAAAGCUACGAUCAGCUAUGUAUGGGUUGAACAAGGAUAUCUAGUCAUGAAUAAUUCUUCCUUUGGCUUCUAGCUGUCCUUUAAAAACGUAAAAUACAGUUUAGGAACAGCACUGGGGUGAAAAUGCAUAGAACAGUCCAGGGAAAAUAACUUCUUACACCCAACUGUGCUGAAUUCUCUGUGAAAAACCAUAGUGAGUGUUGGUGAACCCAAAGGCUAAAGGAGUAGAGGUGGAGAUAUCCAUCUGCCUUCCGGGCAGAAAUAAUGCUUUUGAAGGAAAUAUGGGAUGUGUCCUUUUGGCUGUUUAUUAGCCAAAGGUGCCGUGUCCUCACCAGAAGUGAGGAUACCGUACGACUCUGACUAGCAGACAAGUGUCAGAGUCAGAUAUGGUGGUAUGAAGGACGUGCUGGUGUCAAGGCUCAUCCUGGCUCAGAGAAAUCUCUAGGAAUUCAUAGCAAAUUGCCCAAGAGGUGAUAAUGAAAUGAGAUUUAGCCAAGUGUACUCUCAGAGAAAUUGCUCGGGGCUUCAGGUGCUGCACAGGGCAUAACAAAUAUCAGAUGGCAGAUAAGAAAACAAGUUGUAGGGGAGUUGCUCUGAGUUUCCAAUCAGAGCUGUAAUUCUGUGCAAAUGUUCAUGUAAAUAUCAAGGCUCAUUCAGAAAGGUGGGUUAGCAAUAAGUUGUGUUUGUGUACGGGAUAAUUGGUGCUAUGAGGAGUGAAGCAUGUCUUGUAUUUGCCUGAGGCAUGCUUACCAGAACAGCAACCAGGCUUAACCUAAUAUCAACAGGACAUCUUGCUUUCCUAGACAGUCUGUUCCACGCUGUGUGUAUGUCAGUACUCCACACAGCUAAGAUAAAUCUCUUGGGUUCAUCUUUAUUUAGGACUCCAUCUUUGGGUCAUCUGCAAAUUUUACCCAUGGCUAUUUUCUCUUUGUUUCCUUAUCAGUCAUGGAAAUACUCAGGAGUGUUAGUCCAGAAUAAAACCCUGCUAGGAACACACCACUUGGUGAUGAACCCACAGAGGACAUCUUGAAACCUUUCAGCUGGUUCUGAAGCCAUGCACUGGCUCACUUGUAUUUAUUUUAUAGUGCCACAUUUGUACCAUGAUGUCAUGGUGCACUUAUUCAACCAUCUCACAAAAUUUUUUUCUUAAUGUAUCAAUUGCUUUUGUCUCCUAAACUUUACAUUUCGA